UCACCCUCUGUCCCCUGCAGGAGGAGAGGCCUUCUUCAAGUACAGCCCCGGGAAGCUGCGCGGCAGCCAGUACAAGAGGAUGAUGACCAAGGAGGAGCUGGAGGAGGAGCAGAGAGUUCAGAAAGAGCAGCUGGCGGCCAUCUUCAAGCUCAUGGAGGACAACAAGGAGACGUUCGGCGAGAUGUCCCACGGCGACGUGCAGGAGCAGCUCCGGCUCUACGACAUGUAGGCUGCCACCUCCGCCCGGCGACGCGUCCCCACUGCUGUGCCGUGACGCUGCCUGACCCGACACCAGCCCUUGUCACGUCGACUUUCGUAGGAAGAGGUUCAUCAUGUACAGAUCUGCUCAGUCCUCGCAGCCUCUGUUAUGUUACAGGAAUCAGGACUGUGGUGUUCAGGGGAGAAAGGCCCGGCUCCUCUGGCUUCUGCCCAUGGGUGAGGCCCCAGCUGUCCCAUAGGUAACCCUCCCAGGCCCCAGCUGUUCCAUAGGUAACCCUCCCAGGCCCCAGCUGUCCCAUAGGUAACCCUCCCAGGCCCCAGCUGUUCCAUAGGUAACCCUCCCAGGCCCCAGCUGUCCCAUAGGUAACCCUUCAGGUUCCAGAGGCUCCAGCUGGUCCAUAGGUAACCCUCCAGGCCCCAGCUGUUCCAUAGGUAACCCUUCAGGCUCCAGCUGGUCCAUAGGUAACCCUCCCAGGCUCCAGCUGGUCCAUAGGUAACCCUCCCAGGCCCCAGCUGUUCCAUAGGUAACCCUUCAGGUUCCAGAGGCUCCAGCUGUUACACAGGUAACUCUCCCAGACUGUCUUCCACUCCCGACUGAACCCUCCACGCAGCCCCAGGGCAGACGUGGCCCAGGAGGGUUGACCUGAAGGCUCAGCCCCCCGCACACAUGUGGAAGGAUCCCUGGUGCUGGGGGAAGAUGUGUAUCAGGGCUGCGGCCUGCAUGUCCAGUCUGGUAACACUACACGCUCACUCUGCCUUAGAAGGACUUCUGGAAGCUUCUGUGACUGUAGGGAAGCAAGCAGUGGGGGAGCACUCUUUCAGCAAAGAGGCUAAUUCAACCCCACUGUCCAUCCUGGAACAAAGCAACCGUCUCAGGGUUAAGCCCCUCUCAGCAUUUCCCUCACGUAAGCAUGAGACUGACUUUACGUAUAACUAAGCACCUUAUAAAGCACCUGGCACUAUGCCAGACACAACAGACAGAAGACACAAACCCUGGGCACGCGCCUGCCUUCAGGGAGGUGAAAGCGCUUUAGAGAAGAAGGCACGGCACAGGGGAGGAACCUCCCAGGCAGCAUUCAAGAAAACGCUAAAACAUAAAGUCAAUAAAACCUCAGAACAGUCGGGGGCCCCUCAUGGGAGCAUUUCUGGGGGGCGCAGGCUGUGUCUGAUCUCCCCGCCGGCGGAACAUUUCAGAGCCAAGUGAGUUAGGAAGAAGCCAUGAUGUUCUUAUAUUUUUUAUUUGCUGGAAUAAAACGAAAUCAACACACAGAAUUAAAAGAGGCCAGGGCAUAUUGAGGCCCUGAAGUCAGCAACGCUGGGACAGGCACCUCCUCUCAUCUCCCGUCGCUAGACCCGUUCUCGGGCCUCCUCCACCUGCUGCUGGAAUUCCUUUGGCUUCUUUGCUGACAGUAGGCAUGGCGGGCGGGCUGCUCUCUCGCCCGGGGUUAUACUCAAAUGUCAGUGCUUUUUACUCUUAAAAAUUAUUUUUAUCUUUUUUGCCAAGCUUUUAAAAAUUUUAUGAUUUG
This is a long non-coding RNA of Myotis lucifugus (little brown bat), 1745 nucleotides long. RefSeq lists it as uncharacterized. The transcript has 2 exons. NCBI's taxonomy places the organism in Eukaryota, Metazoa, Chordata, Mammalia, Chiroptera, Vespertilionidae. The record is from RefSeq and is a predicted model, not a curated record.